GGCGUGCCUAAUACAUGCAAGUCGAACGCUUCUUUUUCCACCGGAGCUUGCUCCACCGGAAAAAGAGGAGUGGCGAACGGGUGAGUAACACGUGGGUAACCUGCCCAUCAGAAGGGGAUAACACUUGGAAACAGGUGCUAAUACCGUAUAACAAUCGAAACCGCAUGGUUUUGAUUUGAAAGGCGCUUUCGGGUGUCGCUGAUGGAUGGACCCGCGGUGCAUUAGCUAGUUGGUGAGGUAACGGCUCACCAAGGCCACGAUGCAUAGCCGACCUGAGAGGGUGAUCGGCCACAUUGGGACUGAGACACGGCCCAAACUCCUACGGGAGGCAGCAGUAGGGAAUCUUCGGCAAUGGACGAAAGUCUGACCGAGCAACGCCGCGUGAGUGAAGAAGGUUUUCGGAUCGUAAAACUCUGUUGUUAGAGAAGAACAAGGAUGAGAGUAACUGUUCAUCCCUUGACGGUAUCUAACCAGAAAGCCACGGCUAACUACGUGCCAGCAGCCGCGGUAAUACGUAGGUGGCAAGCGUUGUCCGGAUUUAUUGGGCGUAAAGCGAGCGCAGGCGGUUUCUUAAGUCUGAUGUGAAAGCCCCCGGCUCAACCGGGGAGGGUCAUUGGAAACUGGGAGACUUGAGUGCAGACGAGGAGAGUGGAAUUCCAUGUGUAGCGGUGAAAUGCGUAGAUAUAUGGAGGAACACCAGUCGCGAAGGCGGCUCUCUGGUCU
RNAcentral lists this ribosomal RNA (723 nucleotides) under Enterococcus faecium. RNAcentral describes it as "bacterial SSU rRNA". It matches the Rfam family "Bacterial small subunit ribosomal RNA", at positions 41 to 735 of the family's 1533-position model. Lineage: Bacteria; Bacillati; Bacillota; Bacilli; Lactobacillales; Enterococcaceae. The record is from RNAcentral.